GUCUGGCUGGCUCAGUUGGUAGAGCAUGCAACUCUUGAUCUCAGGAUUGUGAGUUCAAGCCCCAUGUUGGUCA
This 73-nucleotide transfer RNA is filed under the name Felis catus (domestic cat). It matches the Rfam family "tRNA". From Rfam's summary of the family: Transfer RNA (tRNA) molecules are approximately 80 nucleotides in length. Their secondary structure includes four short double-helical elements and three loops (D, anti-codon, and T loops). RNAcentral also lists the same sequence under 2 other names. Lineage: Eukaryota; Metazoa; Chordata; Mammalia; Carnivora; Felidae. The record is from Rfam by way of RNAcentral.